RNAcentral lists this non-coding RNA (159 nucleotides) under human gut metagenome. The record is from RNAcentral.
UCUCACGGGAUACGGAGAUUAAAAAGGAAUCGGGUGAAAAUCCCGGACAGUCCCGCUGCUGUGAGUUCCAUUACACAUGCACAAGCCAUCUUUUAAGCCACUGGUUUUUACUGGGAAGGCCGCUUGUUGCCGGAACAAGUCAGAAGACCUGCCAUACAC